RNAcentral lists this long non-coding RNA (369 nucleotides) under Canis lupus familiaris (dog). Its description in RNAcentral is "lncRNA (ENSCAFG00040012933.1)". Lineage: Eukaryota; Metazoa; Chordata; Mammalia; Carnivora; Canidae. The record is from RNAcentral.
AUGCAGAUUCUAAGAAGGUGGAAUCUCAACAGCAAAGCAAGGAAAAACAAGAGUGGUCAAAAACAGGAGGACCUGAAGACUGAAAUAUGGGCCCAAGGGACUGACACACACCUUCCAGAACACCAAUAUAGAAUAUUUUUAACCCACUUGAACAACAACAACAAAAAAACCUGCAAUAUUGCUAAAUUUCAAGAAGGGAAGACAAUGGAUUUUCAUCUAUGUUGGAUGACAUUUAAAAUCUGCGUCCUCUUGGCCUUCCAAAUACAUGUGGAUCACAACAUGAAAGAAAGGAAUCAGAAAAGAAAGAGUAUAGGGAAAAAAUUGAGGCCGGAUGACAGGCUCAUUAAAAUGUGCAGAAAGCAUCUCUAA